CCAAUCACUGACGUCCAUUCAGUGGAUAUACAUUAAGUGCCGACUUCAUAAACAAACGAUUCUUCGUUUUAUUUGCUUUUUUCAUUUUAAAUUUGCUUUAACCCUAACCCUAACCCUAACCGUAGGGUUAGGGUUAGGGUUAGGGUUAAUUGUUUCAGAAUCGUUUGUUUAUGUAGUCGGCACUUAAUGUAUAUCGGCUGAAUGGACGUCAGUGAUUGGUUGAAAUUACAGAAAUACGACAACUUUAACAUGGAAUAAUUUAUGGAUUUCUUUUUUUUUAAAGAUGUUUUAAAGAUGUUUUAAAGAUGUUUUAAAGAUGUUUUAUAUGACACAUUCUACCAGUGUUCCAAGUUUCAAAGUGUUUCGUUAAUGAAAAAUGUGGCCCCCGUUUUAAAAAAGAUCCAUCGUUUCUACUAUAGGAUCAAGGCCUGAAGUUUGGGACAGUGGGAUAUUGGAUGACUUUGUUAUUCAAGAAUUAUAUAUUACCUCGGAUUUAUCAUCUUUUAAAGAUUAACAGCACGUGAUAAAGAACAGAUAUUCCAAUCAUUAUCAUCGUUUAACGUCCGCUUUCCAUGCUGGCAUGGGUUGUCCGAUUUCAUAAAGAGCUGGCCGGGCAGAAAACUACACCAGACUUCUGUGUUUGUUUUGGCAUGAUUCUUUACGGUUGAGUGUCCUCCAUUAACUCACAGCUUUCAAAUUUUGAUGAUGUGAUUGUGUAUUUUCAAAAUGACAUUGUCGGGUAGGUGUAAGAGGCUGAGUCUGGCUACUUUAAACUUAAAAUAGGUAGAAUAUUUGGGCCAGAUAUGGCUGGUUUAAAUGCUAAAGGGUUAACUAAAUGUGUAUCUAUUCAUAUAGAUGUGUGACUAUCAAUGUGACAAUUCAUAAGAACAAUAAGCAUUUUUUUGGCCUCCUCCUAAAUUGGUGUUUGUGUUGUGGGCAUUUUCCCUGGCAAUAAUGAAGCUAUAAGGAACACUCUCUACAACUGUAUAUAGAUAUUCAUACAGAAAUGGAGAUAGAACAGUGUGAUAACAGCCUCCCAACUCUAUAGUUUAUGUCACCACAUCUCAGGUAACUUACCUGUGACAUUUUUUUUCUUUGUUUGUAAUAAAAGCAAUUUUUUCCAGAUUUUGAA
Molecule: long non-coding RNA, 1132 nt
Organism: Octopus bimaculoides (California two-spot octopus)
Lineage: Eukaryota; Metazoa; Mollusca; Cephalopoda; Octopoda; Octopodidae
Source: RefSeq, a predicted model, not a curated record